GUGGGGAAUAUUGGACAAUGGGCGAAAGCCUGAUCCAGCCAUGCCGCGUGUGUGAAGAAGGUCUUCGGAUUGUAAAGCACUUUAAGUUGGGAGGAAGGGUUGUAGAUUAAUACUCUGCAAUUUUGACGUUACCGACAGAAUAAGCACCGGCUAACUUCGUGCCAGCAGCCGCGGUAAUACGAAGGGUGCAAGCGUUAAUCGGAAUUACUGGGCGUAAAGCGCGCGUAGGUGGUUCGUUAAGUUGGAUGUGAAAGCCCCGGGCUCAACCUGGGAACUGCAUCCAAAACUGGCGAGCUAGAGUACGGUAGAGGGUGGUGGAAUUUCCUGUGUAGCGGUGAAAUGCGUAGAUAUAGGAAGGAACACCAGUGGCGAAGGCGACCACCUGGACUGAUACUGACACUGAGGUGCGAAAGCGUGGGGAGCAAACAGGAUUAGAAACCCCUGUAGUCC
This 450-nucleotide ribosomal RNA is filed under the name uncultured bacterium. RNAcentral describes it as "partial 16S ribosomal RNA". It matches the Rfam family "Bacterial small subunit ribosomal RNA", at positions 354 to 796 of the family's 1533-position model. The record is from RNAcentral.